Molecule: long non-coding RNA, 188 nt
Organism: Ipomoea triloba (trilobed morning glory)
Lineage: Eukaryota; Viridiplantae; Streptophyta; Magnoliopsida; Solanales; Convolvulaceae
Exons: 2
Source: RefSeq, a predicted model, not a curated record
GAAUGCAGGACUCACUGGAGGCCCUGAAGAUAAUACAUUCCUCACAUCACUGAGAGCUAAAUAUGCCGCAACCAUACUCAUGUCAGAAUGGAAUACCCUUCUACCAGAGGUGACAAAUGCAGCCAAAGAAAUCUACAAACAAUCAAAGUGACCGUGUUUGUAAAGAUGUUGAUUCCUGUAAACUGAAA